RNAcentral lists this ribosomal RNA (492 nucleotides) under uncultured bacterium. RNAcentral describes it as "partial 16S ribosomal RNA". It matches the Rfam family "Bacterial small subunit ribosomal RNA", at positions 29 to 507 of the family's 1533-position model. The record is from RNAcentral.
AGUGAACGCUGGCGGUAGGCCUAACACAUGCAAGUCGAACGGCAGCACAGUAAGAGCUUGCUCUUACGGGUGGCGAGUGGCGGACGGGUGAGGAAUACAUAGGAAUCUACUUUGUCGUGGAGGAUAACGUAGGGAAACUUACGCUACUACCGCAUACGACCUACGGGUGAGAGCAAUGGUGAUUCGGACCUUGCGCGAUUGAUUGAGACGAUGCCGGAUUAGCUAGUUGGCAGGGUAAAGGCUCACCAAGGCAACGCAGCGUAGCGGACCUGAGAGGAUGAUCGGCCACACUGGAACUGAGACACGGUCCAGACUCCUACGGGAGGCAGCAGUAGGGAAUCUUGCGCAAUGGGCGCAAGCCUGACCGAGCCACGCCGCGUGAGUGAUGAAGGCCUUCGGUUCGUAAACCUCUGUUAUUAGGAAAGAAAAAAUGUGUAAGAAACCCUGCCCGUCUUGACGGUACCUAAUCAGAAAGCCACGGCUAACUUCGUG